RNAcentral lists this ribosomal RNA (517 nucleotides) under uncultured bacterium. Its description in RNAcentral is "bacterial SSU rRNA". It matches the Rfam family "Bacterial small subunit ribosomal RNA", at positions 992 to 1509 of the family's 1533-position model. The record is from RNAcentral.
AGAACUUAGCAGAGAUGCUUUGGUGCCUUCGGGAACUCUGAGACAGGUGCUGCAUGGCUGUCGUCAGCUCGUGUUGUGAAAUGUUGGGUUAAGUCCCGCAACGAGCGCAACCCUUAUCCUUUGUUGCCAGCGGUCCGGCCGGGAACUCAAAGGAGACUGCCAGUGAUAAACUGGAGGAAGGUGGGGAUGACGUCAAGUCAUCAUGGCCCUUACGAGUAGGGCUACACACGUGCUACAAUGGCGCAUACAAAGAGAAGCGACCUCGCGAGAGCAAGCGGACCUCAUAAAGUGCGUCAUAGUCCGGAUUGGAGUCUGCAACUCGACUCCAUGAAGUCGGAAUCGCUAGUAAUCGUAGAUCAGAAUGCUACGGUGAAUACGUUCCCGGGCCUUGUACACACCGCCCGUCACACCAUGGGAGUGGGUUGCAAAAGAAGUAGGUAGCUUAACCUUCGGGAGGGCGCUUACCACUUUGUGAUUCAUGACUGGGGUGAAGUCGUAACAAGGUAGGCGUAGCGAG